CCUACGGGAGACAGCAGUGGGGAAUAUUGCACAAUGGGGGAAACCCUGAUGCAGCGACGCCGCGUGAGUGAAGAAGUCCUUCGUUGUGUAAAGCUCUAUCAGCAGGGAAGAAAAUGACGGUACCUGAGUAAGAAUCCCCGGCUAACUACGUUCCAGCAGCCGCGGUACUACGUAGGGGGCAAGCGUUAUCCGGAUUUACUGGGUGUAAAGGGAGCGUAGACGGCAGUGCAAGUCAGGAGUGAAAGGCGGGGGCUCAACCCCCGGACUGCUCUGGAAACUGUACGGCUGGAGUGCAGGAGAGGUAAGUGGAAUUCCUAGUGUAGCGGUGAAAUGCGUAGAUAUUAGGAGGAACACCAGUGGCGAAGGCGGCUUACUGGACUGUAACUGACGUUGAGGCUCGAAAGCGUGGGGAGCAAACAGGAUUAGAUACCCCAGUAGUC
RNAcentral lists this ribosomal RNA (440 nucleotides) under uncultured bacterium. Its description in RNAcentral is "partial 16S ribosomal RNA". It matches the Rfam family "Bacterial small subunit ribosomal RNA", at positions 338 to 795 of the family's 1533-position model. The record is from RNAcentral.